Molecule: ribosomal RNA, 411 nt
Filed under: bacterium enrichment culture clone ALO1_GLFRUDD03GBNZD
Lineage: Bacteria
Description: bacterial SSU rRNA
Rfam family: Bacterial small subunit ribosomal RNA
Source: RNAcentral
GAGUUUGAUCGUGGCUCAGAUUGAACGCUGGCGGCAUGCCUUACACAUGCAAGUCGAACGGCAGCACGGGAGCUUGCUCCUGGUGGCGAGUGGCGAACGGGUGAGUAAUGCAUCGGAACGUAUCCUGGAGUGGGGGAUAACGUAGCGAAAGUUACGCUAAUACCGCAUAUUCUGUGAGCAGGAAAGCGGGGGACCUUCGGGCCUCGCGCUCUUGGAGCGGCCGAUGUCGGAUUAGCUAGUUGGUGAGGUAAAGGCUCACCAAGGCGACGAUCCGUAGCAGGUCUGAGAGGAUGAUCUGCCACACUGGAACUGAGACACGGUCCAGACUCCUACGGGAGGCAGCAGUGGGGAAUUUUGGACAAUGGGGGCAACCCUGAUCCAGUCAUGCCGCGUGAGUGAAGAAGGCCUCGG